Molecule: ribosomal RNA, 254 nt
Filed under: uncultured bacterium
Lineage: Bacteria
Description: partial 16S ribosomal RNA
Rfam family: Bacterial small subunit ribosomal RNA
Source: RNAcentral
UACGGGGGGAGCAAGCGUUGUUCGGAUUUACUGGGCGUAAAGGGCGCGUAGGCGGCCACCGCAAGUCGACUGUGAAAUCUCCGGGCUUAACCCGGAAAGGUCAGCCGAUACUGCGGGGCUAGAGUGCAGAAGGGGCAACUGGAAUUCUCGGUGUAGCGGUGAAAUGCGUAGAUAUCGAGAGGAACACCUGCGGCGAAGGCGGCCAGCUGGGAUACACCUGACGCUGAGGCACGAAGGCGUGGGGAGCGAACGGG